GGGGAUAACACUGGGAAACAGGUGCUAAUACCGGAUAACAACCAAAACCACCUGGCUUUGGCUUAAAAGAUGGCUUCGGCUAUCACUUUAGGAUGGACCCGCGGCGUAUUAGCUUGUUGGUAAGGUAACGGCCUACCAAGGCAAUGAUACGUAGCCGACCUGAGAGGGUAAUCGGCCACAUUGGGACUGAGACACGGCCCAAACUCCUACGGGAGGCAGCAGUAGGGAAUCUUCCACAAUGGACGAAAGUCUGAUGGAGCAACGCCGCGUGAGUGAUGAAGGGUUUCGGCUCGUAAAACUCUGUUGUUGGAGAAGAACAGGUGUGAGAGUAACUGUUCACAUCUUGACGGUAUCCAACCAGAAAGCCACGGCUAACUACGUGCCAGCAGCCGCGGUAAUACGUAGGUGGCAAGCGUUGUCCGGAUUUAUUGGGCGUAAAGCGAGCGCAGGCGGUUUCUUAGGUCUGAUGUGAAAGCCUUCGGCUUAACCGGAGAAGUGCAUCGGAAACCAGGAGACUUGAGUGCAGAAGAGGACAGUGGAACUCCAUGUGUAGCGGUGAAAUGCGUAGAUAUAUGGAAGAACACCAGUGGCGAAGGCGGCUGUCUGGUCUGUAACUGACGCUGAGGCUCGAAAGCAUGGGUAGCGAACAGGAUUAGAUACCCUGGUAGUCCAUGCCGUAAACGAUGAGUGCUAAGUGUUGGAGGGUUUCCGCCCUUCAG
Molecule: ribosomal RNA, 719 nt
Filed under: uncultured bacterium
Lineage: Bacteria
Description: bacterial SSU rRNA
Rfam family: Bacterial small subunit ribosomal RNA
Source: RNAcentral